Molecule: ribosomal RNA, 253 nt
Filed under: uncultured bacterium
Lineage: Bacteria
Description: partial 16S ribosomal RNA
Rfam family: Bacterial small subunit ribosomal RNA
Source: RNAcentral
UACGGAGGGUGCAAGCGUUAUCCGGAUUCAUUGGGCUUAAAGGGUGCGUAGGUGGGUCUGUAAGUCAGUGGUGAAAUCUUCGAGCUUAACUCGGAAACUGCCAUUGAUACUAUAGAUCUUGAAUUUUCUGGAGGUAAGCGGAAUAUGUCAUGUAGCGGUGAAAUGCUUAGAUAUGACAUAGAACACCAAUUGCGAAGGCAGCUUACUACGGGAAUAUUGACACUGAGGCACGAAAGCGUGGGGAUCAAACAGG